RNAcentral lists this ribosomal RNA (410 nucleotides) under Corallianassa coutierei. RNAcentral describes it as "partial small subunit ribosomal RNA". It matches the Rfam family "Microsporidia small subunit ribosomal RNA", at positions 752 to 1279 of the family's 1311-position model. Lineage: Eukaryota; Metazoa; Arthropoda; Malacostraca; Decapoda; Callianassidae. The record is from RNAcentral.
AUUUUUAAUCUUAACACCCACAAACCCAAAAACUAAAGGUUAUUUACCCUAAAUUUAAAGGAUUUGGCGGUGAUUUAGUCCAGUUAGAGGAACCUGUUCGAUAAACGAUAAUCCUCGCAGGAUCUUUCCUUCUCCAAAAGCCUGUAUACCGUCAUUAUUAGAUAACUCCCAUAGGAAAAGUUAUUUCAAUAAAUAAUUUAUUAUUUAGUAUAUUAGAUCAAGGUGCAGCCCAUGAGCAGGUCAGAAUGGGUUACAAUAAAACUUACUUAAAACGGAGUAAAGAUUGAAAUAUCUUUAUAAAGGAGGAUUUAAUAGUAAAGUAAAUUUAACAAGUUUAUUUGAUAAAGGAUCUAAAUUGAGUACAUAUCGCCCGUCGCUUUCGUCUACAAACGAAAUAAGUCGUAACAUAG